This 492-nucleotide ribosomal RNA is filed under the name uncultured bacterium. Its description in RNAcentral is "partial 16S ribosomal RNA". It matches the Rfam family "Bacterial small subunit ribosomal RNA", at positions 29 to 507 of the family's 1533-position model. The record is from RNAcentral.
AGUGAACGCUGGCGGUAGGCCUAACACAUGCAAGUCGAACGGCAGCACAGUAAGAGCUUGCUCUUACGGGUGGCGAGUGGCGGACGGGUGAGGAAUACAUCGGAAUCUACUUUUUCGUGGGGGAUAACGUAGGGAAACUUACGCUAAUACCGCAUACGACCUACGGGUGAAAGCAGGGGAUCUUCGGACCUUGCGCGAUUGAAUGAGCCGAUGUCGGAUUAGCUAGUUGGCGGGGUAAAGGCCCACCAAGGCGACGAUCCGUAGCUGGUCUGAGAGGAUGAUCAGCCACACUGGAACUGAGACACGGUCCAGACUCCUACGGGAGGCAGCAGUGGGGAAUAUUGGACAAUGGGCGCAAGCCUGAUCCAGCCAUACCGCGUGGGUGAAGAAGGCCUUCGGGUUGUAAAGCCAUUUUGUUGGGAAAGAAAAGCAGCAGGUUAAUACCCCGCUGUUCUGACGGUACCCAAAGAAUAAGCACCGGCUAACUUCGUG